This 553-nucleotide unclassified non-coding RNA is filed under the name Hevea brasiliensis (rubber tree). The record is from RNAcentral. Lineage: Eukaryota; Viridiplantae; Streptophyta; Magnoliopsida; Malpighiales; Euphorbiaceae.
CCAUAUAUUCAUUCUCUUUCAGUGAGAUGGAGUCCACCUCUCAUAAAUUUAUGGAAAAGCAUCUUCUAAUUUUCCAUUUGAGAGAGAUGAAGGAUAACGACAAAACAAGGAUCAACGUCAAAGCAUAGUAGAUGGGCUUAAGAGUGAAGUUCUGGAGCCAGACCUCCCUCUUGAUACCUAUACGACUGCUUCUUCCAUCUCAUCCUCUUCCCAGGUCAUCAUCUUCUCUUCACACUUACAGUUUACCAGCCCACAGAAAACCACUCGUGAGAGCGAUUGCCAGUUCCACAGAAGCAUUAGCGCCAGCGAAAAUGGUCAAAGCUAUUAGGGUUCAUGAGCUUGGUGGACCUGAGGCCUUGAAGUGGGAAGAUGUGGAGACAGGAGAGCCAGGUGAGGGUGAGAUACGUGUGAAAAACAAAGCCAUUGGGGUUAACUUCAUUGAUGUGUAUUUUAGAAAAGGAGUGUACAAGGCUCAAUCAAUGCCAUUCACCCCAGGUAUGGAGGCUGUUGGAGAAGUGAUAGCUGUGGGCCCUGGACUUACUGGUAGGAACAU